CCUACGGGUGGCAGCAGUGAGGAAUAUUGGUCAAUGGACGAGAGUCUGAACCAGCCAAGUAGCGUGAAGGAUGACUGCCCUAUGGGUUGUAAACUUCUUUUAUAUGGGAAUAAAACGUUCCACGUGUGGGAUUUUGUAUGUACCAUAUGAAUAAGGAUCGGCUAACUCCGUGCCAGCAGCCGCGGUAAUACGGAGGAUCCGAGCGUUAUCCGGAUUUAUUGGGUUUAAAGGGAGCGUAGGUGGAUUGUUAAGUCAGUUGUGAAAGUUUGCGGCUCAACCGUAAAAUUGUAGUUGAAACUGGCAGUCUUGAGUACAGUAGAGGUGGGCGGAAGUCGUGGUGUAGCGGUGAAAUGCUUAGAUAUCACGAAGAACUCCGAUUGCGAAGGCAGUUCACUGGACUGCAACUGACACUGAGGCUCGAAAGUGUGGGUAUCAAACAGGAUUAGAUACCCCAGUAGUC
This 460-nucleotide ribosomal RNA is filed under the name uncultured bacterium. RNAcentral's name for it is "partial 16S ribosomal RNA". It matches the Rfam family "Bacterial small subunit ribosomal RNA", at positions 338 to 795 of the family's 1533-position model. The record is from RNAcentral.